RNAcentral lists this ribosomal RNA (700 nucleotides) under uncultured bacterium. RNAcentral's name for it is "bacterial SSU rRNA". It matches the Rfam family "Bacterial small subunit ribosomal RNA", at positions 94 to 828 of the family's 1533-position model. The record is from RNAcentral.
AGUGGCGGACGGGUGAGUAACGCGUAAGAAUCUAACUUCAGGACGGGGACAACAGUGGGAAACGACUGCUAAUACCCGAUGUGCCGCGAGGUGAAACCUAAUUGGCCUGAAGAAGAGCUUGCGUCUGAUUAGCUAGUUGGUGGGGUAAGAGCCUACCAAGGCGACGAUCAGUAGCUGGUCUGAGAGGAUGAGCAGCCACACUGGGACUGAGACACGGCCCAGACUCCUACGGGAGGCAGCAGUGGGGAAUUUUCCGCAAUGGGCGAAAGCCUGACGGAGCAACGCCGCGUGAGGGAGGAAGGUCUUUGGAUUGUAAACCUCUUUUCUCAAGGAAGAAGUUCUGACGGUACUUGAGGAAUCAGCCUCGGCUAACUCCGUGCCAGCAGCCGCGGUAAUACGGGGGAGGCAAGCGUUAUCCGGAAUUAUUGGGCGUAAAGCGUCCGCAGGUGGUCAGCCAAGUCUGCCGUCAAAUCAGGUUGCUUAACGACGUAAAGGCGGUGGAAACUGGCAGACUAGAGAGCAGUAGGGGUAGCAGGAAUUCCCAGUGUAGCGGUGAAAUGCGUAGAGAUUGGGAAGAACAUCGGUGGCGAAAGCGUGCUACUGGGCUGUAUCUGACGCUCAGGGACGAAAGCUAGGGGAGCGAAAGGGAUUAGAUACCCCUGUAGUCCUAGCCGUAAACGAUGGAUACUAGGCGUGGCUU